UACGUAGGGGGCAAGCGUUGUCCGGAUUUAUUGGGCGUAAAGAGCGUGUAGGCGGCCAGACAAGUCUGCUGUGAAAACUCGAGGCUCAACCUCGAGCUGUCGGCGGAAACUGUCUGGCUAGAGUCCGGAAGAGGAGAGUGGAAUUCCCGGUGUAGCAGUGAAAUGCGUAGAGAUCGGGAGGAACAUCAGUUGCGAAGGCGGCUCUCUGGACCAGCACUGACACUGAGGCACGAAAGCCAGGGGAGCGAACGGG
RNAcentral lists this ribosomal RNA (253 nucleotides) under uncultured bacterium. RNAcentral describes it as "partial 16S ribosomal RNA". It matches the Rfam family "Bacterial small subunit ribosomal RNA", at positions 524 to 776 of the family's 1533-position model. The record is from RNAcentral.